CAGUCGCCGCGGGAACACGUAGGGUGCAAGCGUUGUCCGGAAUCAUUGGGCGUAAAGCGCGCGUAGGUGGCCAUUUAAGUCCGCUGUGAAAGUCAAAGGCUCAACCUUUGAAAGCCGGUGGAUACUGGAUGGCUAGAGUACGGAAGAGGCGAGUGGAAUUCCUGGUGUAGCGGUGGAAUGCGCAGAUAUCAGGAGGAACACCAAUAGCGAAGGCAGCUCGCUGGGACGUUACUGACACUGAGGCGCGAAAGCGUGGGGAGCGAACGGGAUUAGAUACCCGGGUAGUCCCUGUCUCUUAUAA
This 301-nucleotide ribosomal RNA is filed under the name uncultured bacterium. RNAcentral describes it as "partial 16S ribosomal RNA". It matches the Rfam family "Bacterial small subunit ribosomal RNA", at positions 509 to 809 of the family's 1533-position model. The record is from RNAcentral.